CAGGUAAGAUGGCCGAGUGACAGGCGGUGGGUUGUAGCCCCAUACACAGAGGUUCAACCCCUCUUCUUAUCA
This 72-nucleotide transfer RNA is filed under the name Xenopus borealis (Kenyan clawed frog). Its description in RNAcentral is "tRNA-Tyr". It matches the Rfam family "tRNA". Rfam says of the family: Transfer RNA (tRNA) molecules are approximately 80 nucleotides in length. Their secondary structure includes four short double-helical elements and three loops (D, anti-codon, and T loops). The record is from RNAcentral. Lineage: Eukaryota; Metazoa; Chordata; Amphibia; Anura; Pipidae.